AGUGAGUGUGUGUGUUUGUGUGUGUGUGAGAGAGAGAGUGUAUGUGCAAUAAAGACUGAGAAUAUUAAAGAAAAGGAGAGUAAGAGAGGAUCAAAUUAAACAUUGCCUGAUAUUGAAUCAUGCAUGCACAUGGAUGCAUGACCAGACAAACACGCGUCCAACCAUCUGCCGGCUUAACGGCUCAAAUUCCGUAUGCUCUUUAGACAAGCAUCCAAAAGCACUUCCGGACGCCGGCGUUUUUAGAGGAGCGCCACCAGGUUUGGCUUUGAACUUCCUCUUUGGAACUUUGAAGGAAGCGGUGGACUGUGAUGUCAUAACUGACCUCGGAACAGCGGGUUCCGUUACUAUGGCUCCCAGUGGGGUUGCUACGGCGACCUCUCCUUCUCUCUCGUUUGGUGGACCGUUCGCCUGUUUGGCCAUUUCUUCUGUUUUGUUUUUUAUCUGUGCUCUGCAGCAUUUCAGUGGUCCUCUGAGCGUGACCAACGCGACACUUACAGUGAGCUAGUCAUGUUUCUGACCUGUGCUAAUUUGCCACAUUUCUAACCGCAUUAUCAUCCUCUGCUAUUUUUUUGUGGUAUAAUCAAGAACCGAAUCCUGGGCCGCUGUCGUCGUUUACUCUCCCUCAGGUUGUUCCACAGCUGUAUGAGUUUCUUUCUUCUGUUGAUCACAAAAGAUGUUGGUUAUUUAGUUGCCGGUAGCCAUUCACUUCCAUAGUGUGGGGAAAAAAAUACUGUGGAAGUCAAUGGAUACCGGCAACUAUUUGGUUCUCAACCGUUUUCAAAAUAUCUUCUUUUGUGUUCAACAGAAGAAAGAAACUCUGACAGGUUUCGUACAACAUCGGGGUGAAGAAAUGAACUAUACCUUUAAAUGUCUAUAUUAUCAAUUAGUUACUAUUUCUCUUAAUUAGUUUUGAUGCUUAUACAUCAUGUAUAUUAUAUGGAAGCUUGUUUUUGUAUCCAUGGGAUAAAAAAAUAAAACGGUAAGUGCAACUUUUUACC
Long non-coding RNA from Sinocyclocheilus anshuiensis, 998 nucleotides. RefSeq lists it as uncharacterized. The record is from RefSeq and is a predicted model, not a curated record. The transcript is spliced from 3 exons. NCBI's taxonomy places the organism in Eukaryota, Metazoa, Chordata, Actinopteri, Cypriniformes, Cyprinidae.